GCUAAAAGCCUAGCCCUACUUAACCGAAUGAAAUCCCACAAAAUAACAAUACAAAUAAAACAUUCUUCUAACCAAGUAAAGGCGAUUAAAAAGUAUUUAGGAGCCUUAACACCAGUACCGCAAGGGAAAGGUGAAAUAAAAAUGAAAUAAAUUUUAAGCACCACAAAGUAGAGACUCCCCCUCGUACCUUUUGCAUCAUGGUCUAACUAGUACAACCAAGCAAAACGAACUUUAAGUUUGACAUCCCGAAACUAGACGAGCUACUUCAAAACAGCCUUUAUGGGCCAACCCAUCCCUGUUGCAAAAGGGUGGGAAGAUUUUCAAGUAGAAGUGACAGACCUACCGAGCCUAGAGAUAGCUGGUUAUUCAAGAAAAGGAUAUUAGUCCAAUUUUAAGCCUUAAUAUAAAAUCAAAUACACCCGUAGAUUUAAAAUUCAUUCAAAUAAGGUACAGCCUAUUUGAAACAGGAUACAACCUUCAACAGGGGGUAAUGCUCAAACUAACGUGACCAAGUGGGCCUAAAAGCAGCCAUCUUUAAAAAAGCGUUAAAGCCUUGUCACAUCUUAUCACUAAUUUCAACAAAAACCCAAAACCCCUCACUUAUAUUGAAUGACUCCAUACUCAUAUGGAAGACCCUAUGUUUGAACUAGUAACAAGAAUAACUUCUCCACAAAUGUAAGUGUAGGCCGGAAUGAACCACUCACCGACAUUUAUCGCCAACGGACCCACAGUAACAACUUUUCCAAGAAAACCUUACUUUUCCCCCAGCGUUAACCUUACACAAGAACUUUCCAGGAAAGAUUAAAAAAAGAGGAAGGAACUCGGCAAACAUUAACCCCGCCUGUUUACCAAAAACAUCGCCUUCUGAUAACCAAUUGAAGGUCCAGCCUGCCCAGUGAUAAACUUAAACGGCCGCGGUACUUUAACCGUGCAAAGGUAGCACAAUCACUUGUUCUUUAAAUAAGGACUAGUAUGAAUGGCAUCACGAGGGUUACACUGUCUCCCCCCUUUAAUCAGUGAAACUAAUCUCCCCGUGAAGAAGCGGGGAUACACAUAUAAGACGAGAAGACCCCAUGGAGCUUAAAACUUAGUACCACUUGCACUAUUUAUAUCACCUAAAUCAAGCAAGACUGUUUACUAGUUUUUGGUUGGGGCGACCGCGGAGCAAAACAAAACCUCCACGACGAAAGGAGAAUACCUCCUAAUCAGAGAACUACUACUCGCAGAAUCAAAAUAUUGACCUAAGUUGAUCCAAUAUACUUGAACAACGAACCAAGUUACCCUGGGGAUAACAGCGCAAUCCAUUUCAAGAGCCCGUAUCAACAAAUGGGUUUACGACCUCGAUGUUGGAUCAGGGUAUCCCAGUGGUGCAGCCAUUACUAAAGGUUCGUUUGUUCAACGAUUAAAACCCUACGUGAUCUGAGUUCAGACCGGAGCAAUCCAGGUCGGUUUCUAUCUAUAAAGAGUCUCUCCUAGUACGAAAGGACUGGAGUAACAUGGCCAAUAUAAAAACAAGCCAUCGCUAUUAAUUAAUGACCUCAACUCAAUUAAUUUUAGCCUAAUAACAACCCUAAGACAAAAGA
Molecule: ribosomal RNA, 1583 nt
Filed under: Callulops wilhelmanus (Wilhelm callulops Frog)
Lineage: Eukaryota; Metazoa; Chordata; Amphibia; Anura; Microhylidae
Description: 16S ribosomal RNA
Rfam family: Bacterial large subunit ribosomal RNA
Source: RNAcentral